RNAcentral lists this ribosomal RNA (253 nucleotides) under uncultured bacterium. RNAcentral's name for it is "partial 16S ribosomal RNA". It matches the Rfam family "Bacterial small subunit ribosomal RNA", at positions 524 to 776 of the family's 1533-position model. The record is from RNAcentral.
UACGUAGGGUGCAAGCGUUGUCCGGAAUUAUUGGGCGUAAAGAGCUUGUAGGCGGUUUGUCGCGUCUGCUGUGAAAUUGCGGGGCUCAACCCCGAACUUGCAGUGGGUACGGGCAGACUAGAGUGUGGUAGGGGAGACUGGAAUUCCUGGUGUAGCGGUGAAAUGCGCAGAUAUCAGGAGGAACACCGAUGGCGAAGGCAGGUCUCUGGGCCAUAACUGACGCUGAGAAGCGAAAGCAUGGGGAGCGAACAGG